This 377-nucleotide ribosomal RNA is filed under the name uncultured bacterium. RNAcentral's name for it is "bacterial SSU rRNA". It matches the Rfam family "Bacterial small subunit ribosomal RNA", at positions 523 to 898 of the family's 1533-position model. The record is from RNAcentral.
AUACGUAGGUGGCAAGCGUUAUCCGGAUUUACUGGGUGUAAAGGGCGUGUAGGCGGUUUUGUAAGUCGGAUGUGAAAUUCCCAGGCUUAACUUGGGAGCUGCAUCCGAAACUACAGAACUUGAGUACUGGAGAGGAUAGUGGAAUUCCUAGUGUAGCGGUAAAAUGCGUAGAUAUUAGGAGGAACAUCAGUGGCGAAGGCGACUAUCUGGACAGUAACUGACGCUGAGGCGCGAAAGCGUGGGGAGCAAACAGGAUUAGAUACCCUGGUAGUCCACGCCGUAAACGAUGGAUACUAGGUGUAGGGGGUAUCGACCCCCCCUGUGCCGGAGUUAACACAAUAAGUAUCCCACCUGGGGAGUACGGCCGCAAGGUUGAA